RNAcentral lists this ribosomal RNA (465 nucleotides) under Vreelandella stevensii. RNAcentral describes it as "partial 16S ribosomal RNA". It matches the Rfam family "Bacterial small subunit ribosomal RNA", at positions 338 to 795 of the family's 1533-position model. Lineage: Bacteria; Pseudomonadati; Pseudomonadota; Gammaproteobacteria; Oceanospirillales; Halomonadaceae. The record is from RNAcentral.
CCUACGGGUGGCUGCAGUGGGGAAUAUUGGACAAUGGGCGAAAGCCUGAUCCAGCCAUGCCGCGUGUGUGAAGAAGGCCUUCGGGUUGUAAAGCACUUUCAGUGGGGAAGAAAGCCUUGGGGCUAAUACCCUCGAGGAAGGACAUCACCCACAGAAGAAGCACCGGCUAACUCCGUGCCAGCAGCCGCGGUAAUACGGAGGGUGCGAGCGUUAAUCGGAAUUACUGGGCGUAAAGCGCGCGUAGGCGGUCUGAUAAGCCGGUUGUGAAAGCCCCGGGCUCAACCUGGGAACGGCAUCCGGAACUGUCAGGCUAGAGUGCAGGAGAGGAAGGUAGAAUUCCCGGUGUAGCGGUGAAAUGCGUAGAGAUCGGGAGGAAUACCAGUGGCGAAGGCGGUCUUCUGGACUGACACUGACGCUGAGGUGCGAAAGCGUUGGUAGCAAACAGGAUUAGAUACCCUAGUAGUC